RNAcentral lists this ribosomal RNA (634 nucleotides) under uncultured bacterium. Its description in RNAcentral is "bacterial SSU rRNA". It matches the Rfam family "Bacterial small subunit ribosomal RNA", at positions 90 to 745 of the family's 1533-position model. The record is from RNAcentral.
GAUUAGUGGCGCACGGGUGAGUAAUGCAUAGAUAAUGUGCCCCUUAGUUCGGGAUAGCCACUGGAAACGGUGAUUAAUACCGGAUACUCCUUCUUGUUAUAAGACAAGUCGGGAAAGUUUUUCGCUAAGGGAUCAGUCUAUGUUCCAUCAGCUUGUUGGUGAGGUAAUGGCUCACCAAGGCUAUGACGGAUAUCUGGUUUGAGAGGAUGAUCAGACACACUGGAACUGAGACACGGUCCAGACUCCUACGGGAGGCAGCAGUGAGGAAUAUUGCACAAUGGAGGAAACUCUGAUGCAGCAACGCCGCGUGGAGGAUGACGCAUUUCGGUGUGUAAACUCCUUUUAUUAGGGAAGAUAAUGACGGUACCUAAUGAAUAAGCACCGGCUAACUCCGUGCCAGCAGCCGCGGUAAUACGGAGGGUGCAAGCGUUACUCGGAAUCACUGGGCGUAAAGGGUGCGUAGGCUGGCUUUUAAGUCAGAUGUGAAAUCCAAUGGCUCAACCAUUGAACUGCAUUUGAAACUGAAAGCCUAGAGUUCAGAAGGGGCAGAUGGAAUUAGUGGUGUAGGGGUAAAAUCCGUAGAUAUCACUAGGAAUAUCAAAAGCGAAGGCGAUCUGCUGGGAUGAUACUGACG